CAGCAGCCGCGGUAAAACGAAGGGGGCUAGCGUUGUUCGGAUUUACUGGGCGUAAAGGGUGCGUAGGCGGAUUGUUAAGUCAGGGGUGAAAUCCCGAGGCUCAACCUCGGAACUGCCUUUGAUACUGGCGAUCUUGAGUCCGGGAGAGGUGAGUGGAACUGCGAGUGUAGAGGUGAAAUUCGUAGAUAUUCGCAAGAACACCGGUGGCGAAGGCGGCUCACUGGCUCGGUACUGACGCUGAGGCACGAAAGCGUGGGGAGCAAACAGGAUUAGAUACCCGGGUAGUCCCUGUCUCUUAUAC
This 301-nucleotide ribosomal RNA is filed under the name uncultured bacterium. RNAcentral's name for it is "partial 16S ribosomal RNA". It matches the Rfam family "Bacterial small subunit ribosomal RNA", at positions 509 to 807 of the family's 1533-position model. The record is from RNAcentral.